AGUUCUCAGGGCGGAGUGGAAUUCUCCACCGGUGGUGACAGUCCACGAGCUAACAGCUGAUUUGGUGAAAAUCCAAAACCGACGGUAACAGUCCGGAUGAAAGAGAAUG
This 109-nucleotide non-coding RNA is filed under the name uncultured Methanobrevibacter sp. RNAcentral describes it as "FMN riboswitch (RFN element)". It matches the Rfam family "FMN riboswitch aptamer (RFN element)". From Rfam's summary of the family: The RFN element is a highly conserved domain that is found frequently in the 5'-untranslated regions of prokaryotic mRNAs that encode for flavin mononucleotide (FMN) biosynthesis and transport proteins. This element is a metabolite-dependent riboswitch that directly binds FMN in the absence of proteins. The record is from RNAcentral. Lineage: Archaea; Methanobacteriati; Methanobacteriota; Methanobacteria; Methanobacteriales; Methanobacteriaceae.